GGAUAUGAGGGUGAUCUGGCUGUGACAUCUGUCACCCCAUUGGUCACCAUAGUUGAUUUGGCUAAUCUGGCUGGCUAGGCAGGUGUCCCUUCCCUCCCUCACUGUUCCAUGUGUGUCCCAAACAGGGGAGGACCGGUCUUUGGUCAUUCAUAUAUGAGUAGCUGAGCGUCCCUGCUAUAACCUCCAAACAAGCUCUCAAAUAUCAAAACACAUGUGGCACCAGGUGUGGUGGCCACCCUGUAAGUCAAGUCCCAGCUACUCAGGAUGCUGAGGUAGGACAUCACUUGA
Molecule: small nuclear RNA, 288 nt
Filed under: Jaculus jaculus (lesser Egyptian jerboa)
Lineage: Eukaryota; Metazoa; Chordata; Mammalia; Rodentia; Dipodidae
Description: 7SK RNA (ENSJJAG00000004192.1)
Rfam family: 7SK RNA
About the family: 7SK was discovered as an abundant small nuclear RNA in the mid-70s but a possible function has only recently been suggested. Two independent studies have found that 7SK RNA binds the CDK9/cyclin T complex (known as elongation factor P-TEFb).
Source: RNAcentral